Molecule: long non-coding RNA, 8595 nt
Organism: Chlorocebus sabaeus (green monkey)
Lineage: Eukaryota; Metazoa; Chordata; Mammalia; Primates; Cercopithecidae
Source: RefSeq, a predicted model, not a curated record
GGAAGGAUCUUCCCCUAAAGCCCUCAGAAGGACCAUGGCCCUGCUGACACCUUGACCUCAGACUUCUAGCCUCCAAGACUUCGAGAAAAUACAUUUCUGUUGUUCUAAGCCAUUUGGUUUGUUUUCAAAUGUUCUUGCAGCCCUAAGCAAUGAAUAUGAUACACAAUGGGGGAUUCCUUUGAAAUCGCAAAGGGGGUGGGUGAUGAUGGACAACUGUAGAAAUCCCAAGGUCCAGCUGGGAGAGUGUGUAAGGAGACAGUAUUCACCAUACAUCCCAAAGUGGCACUCUCAAACUAGAUGACUGCUCACCGAGUUUUCUUAUUGGUACAGAUCCUGGAUCUCUCAGGCAUGAGACUAGAGUGAAAGAGGAUAAAAUGUCUUCCUACCUUCUCUCUGGGUUGUUCCGUUUGAUGAACCCACGCAUGGGGUCACUAAAGAAGCCAGAGUGGAGGCUGCAGGGAAUAUGGAUUUAAAUGAAUUUUGGCUGUACCAUCAAGCAGUCUGAUCACUGAGGAAAUAUCAAAAGCUUCACCCGAGUGACUCAUCACCCAAAUUCAGCAGAGACUUGCCAAAGAAGCUGCUUAUUUCACAGAAGGACGGUGCUGGAUGAAAGAUGCUUCCUUGAAACUGAGAGACUGCAGCCUUAGACAGGUCUCUUUGAAGAGCACAAGAAUUACUUUCAGAUCAUCAGUGACUUAAUUGAACAAAUGGCAACGAUCUUGCCAAAAUCUGAGAAGAUGUCCUCUGACCUUCCUCACCAGGAGUGAAUAUAUGUCAAUUCGUAUAUCCAAGUCUAUGAAAAGGAACAUGAAAUGGGAUCAACUAAAUUAUACUGAAGACAUAUACAGAUACAUUAAGCUUUGGAAAACAUCUGGACUUUGGAAUACUGGUCCACACGUCUUUCAGAGAGUCUUUCACAGGCAUUUCUUGCUGCUGCCAUGGGAAGAAGGAUGUGUUUGCUUCCCCCUCUGCCACGAUUAAGUUUCCUGAGACCUCCUGAGUCAUGCUGAACUGUGAGUCAAUUAUACCUUUUUCUUUUAUAACAUAAUGGCCUAGAUUAUGGACAGAAUCUAAGUUUACUUCAAUGCUGGGUUAACCGUAUGACCGCGGUGGCUGGCAUGAAAUUAACCAACUCUAAAUAUUAGUAGGGCUUAGUCAAACUUUCAUUUAUUACUAAAAAUUUAUCACUGCUGUUUCCCAUGGGGAUAUGGUUGAGCAAAGUGUUUUGAGCGUCAUUCGUGCAUGCUUGAUACCUGCUCCUUUUGAUCUGGGUGAUCUAUUAGAAGGAGGAGGAGAAAAAUUAAACCUAAAAUAUCUUUGGUUGUAUGGUAGAGGUGGAAGGUAAUUUUGUCAGGGUCUGAUGAAACCCCUGAAGGGUUAUUAGAUCCUGAAACCUGAAAAUUAGGCUCUAAAAUGUAGCCCAAUUGGAGAAAUUUGUGAACUUGACCCUUUCUAGAAUUUUUGAAAAUCGGGUAAGUAGAGAUACUUGAGUUUCUGGACUCAAGAUUAUAUAUGGUGUCUUCUCUAUUUUUUCUCACAUUUUAUAAUGAGACAUUGAUAAUUAACACACUUACCAGUUCCUUUUAGCACAGACCUUGUUUAAUAGAGUAUAGACAAAACUCUCAACAUUUGAGAACUGCUAGAAAAGGAGAGGAAACCACUUGCUUUCUGAGAACACACUGGAUAACUUCAGUACAAGGCAGAAUAAGGGUAUUUAGCUCAGAGGGAGGAGAAAGAGAGCGGCCUCGGAUAUUGCUUAUUUUAGUUUUCCUUAAGGCUGCCCACACAAAGUUUUCAGUCAGUGACUCAUCAAAUUUCAUUCUGCUAGAUGUGAUGCUAAAUUUUUUCUAUCUUAAGAUGUUCAACAAGAAUUUUCUGCUAGUAAAUGUAUUUCCGGUGAGCAGAGGUUAUUAAGAAUACUUGUACCAUGGACCCCUUUGGCACCUGGUAAAACCUGUAGACCCUCUUUCUAAAUUAAGUUACUGAGGGCACAAAACACCUAAGAUUAAAGAAAAGCUAUAUUUAAAAACAUUUCACAAAAUAUAGUAAAACAAACUUGUGACAUGGUAAUAUAUACACUUCUUCAACACAUUUGGUAAUUGAAUCUAUGAUUACCUAAUUAUUAGUAUAAUUUUGAUAUAGUGGUGGACAUAAAUAAUAUAUUGAACUAUUUGCACAACUUUAAUGUAUUAGUAAUAUGAAAAUUCUGAUUUCUCCUGAUGAGAACCACAGAUUUUAACAGUACUAUGGUCUGUUGCCUACAUUCAUAGCUUAAGGAAAGGCUAAACCACUUACAGGUUAGUGGGAAAAGGGGAUCUAAUUGUAUUCACUCAAAUUCCUGGACCUCCUGAAUUCCAUAGAUGGUCUCCUGGGUGGCUUGAGCUUCCCAUGUUAAAAAUUCUUGCUAUAUAGAUUAAGGUGAAUAAGAUACAACCAGAUUUCUUUUUUACAUGUCAAAUAAUAGUUUUGAUAUAUUUCUUAUGACAUAAUCUAUACAAACUGAAAAAAACUAUCUUUGAGAUGAUAUUUGUGUAUGGAAAUUAGGCCCGGAUUUUAUUCUUGUUUUCUUUUCAUGUUUUUUUCUUUAUGAAACUAAGUGUUCUGUUGGCAUGUUCACCACCAUUAAAUGCAUUUUAAUAAAGUCCGUGUAGUAUUGUGUGCUUUGACAUUGCUGGAAAAGGGUGUCUGUUUAUGAAAAUAAUGUUAGACUAUAAAGUUAAAUAAAGGGAGAUGAGGUAUCAGAAAUAACACAAUUCCAUGGUAACUGUUUUUAAACAGUAGAUUGAUCAAUAGCAUUUUGUGGUAAGAUGUUGUUAAUCUGUCUCAGUCAGGACCCAAAUGGCAAGCCAUUUCAAAUUGAUCACAGAACAAAAAUUGGCAUUACGUUCCCUUGGCUUCGUUGUGAGUGUGCUCUACAGCUCAAUUCACGACCAAUGAAAAUACUGAUGCUAAUGACAACUAUAAGAAUACUGUGCAAAAUAUCACAGAGAAAGAAAGCAAAGGUUGAGAGUGGAGAUUAUAAUUGUUUCUAGUCCUGUGUUUAAAACUCUUGGAACUUGCGUUUUCACAGUGAAAGAAAACAAUUUUUAAUAGCAAGCUAGGUGUAUCAUCCACAACAUCCCAGUUGUGUUUAGUUUGUAUUUUCUGAAAAGUUGCAUUUCUGAGAAACACGAGAGAAAACCAAUGGAAGUUAUAAUUCCAUACCAAAAGUUCUGACUCAAAUGUUGACAAAGAUCACGUAGGAAAUAUAGAGACUUACAGUAGGCCAGGUAUAAAAUAGAACAAAGUUUGGAGAUGACCAGAGUCACAAGGAUUGGAAUGUAAGUGAAAAUAAUAGCUGUGCAGCCAGUAAGAAUUUUGUAGUCUGCCUGUUAGAAAGACUGUUAUGCCUGGACUUGUGACCUUCCUGAUCUUACGUGGAUACAAACCAUUGUCCUUGUUUCUUUGCUUUCUCAGCUAAUAGAUUUUUAGAAAAGGGUUUCUGGAGCCAAACACACUGUCCAUGGUUUGACAGAGUGAAUGGAGACAGGGAAACAUAUACUUUCUCAAAAGAGCAAGAUUGCUUUUCCAUCCUCAUUCUUCUGGUCUGUCCACUGUACUGCAGCAAUAUUAACCAACUUGAUCUUUCCUUUUGUCACAUUCUUACCACCAUAUUUGCACCUUAAUUUAUUAUUUAGCAGCAGGCUUUCAUGUAAUUAUUUAAUUUUUGGUUUCCUACCACAGAUUGUGUAUGAUUUAUCCAGUGUUUGUAGUAAUACUACAAAAUAAACAAACAAAAUGACAAUUUAUUCAGCCUUGAGUCUGUAGGGUUUUGCUGAUUGGAACUAGGAUUGACUGACAUGGCUAUGCUUAAGUGGUCUCAGCUGGGCUCGCAUAUGCCUCUGCAGCCAACAAGAAUUAGCUUGGAGGUGCUGCUCAUCUUGGCGAGCUCACUCACAUGUUUGGUUGAGGAUCAGCUACUGGUUGCCUUACCUAAGAUGUCCUCAUCUGGGCUGACUUGAGUAGUUUGGUUCAUUCCUCAUAUCCCUUUCUUCAACGGGUAAGCCUGAGUAUAUUCUUCCCAUUGUGUAGAUGCUCCUUGACUUAUGAUGAGGUUACAUUCCAAUAAACCUAUUGUAAAUGAAAAAUAUUUUAAGUCAAAAAUGCAUUAGAUACCUUGCUAAAGCCAUCAUAAAGUUUAAAAAUUGUUAAGUUGAACCAUUGUAACUCAGGGACCAUCCAUUACUAGCAGAGGGCAAGAGACAUGUCCAAGCACGUUUUCAAUCUUAUUCAUGAGUCACAUUGCUAGUAUUUCAUUGACUAAAAUUAGUCACAAAACCAGCCAGGUUCAUGAGUAAGAGUAUAAAGGCAAAUCAAAAUCACAAAGAGAUAUCACUUUAUAUCCAUUAAGCUGGAAAAAUAAAACAAAAUGAAAUGAAACCUGAAAUUAACAUGUGUUAGAAAGGAUAUAGAGAAUUUGGAACACUUCUGCAUUGUUGGUGAGAAUAUGAAAUGAUGGAACUGUUAUAGAAAAUGGUAUGGUGAUUGUUCAAAAAUUUUAACAUAGAAUUACAAUGUGAUCCAGAGAUUCUCUCUCUAAGUACAUACUCAAAGAAUUAAAAGAAUUUAAUUUUCAAAUAAUCGAAAACUUGGGUUCAAACAGAUAUUUUCACACCCUUGUUCAGUAGCAGCAUUAUUCACAAAAGCCAGAAGUAGAAGUGUCCCAGGUGUCCAUCAACAGAUGAAAGGAUAAACAAAAUGUGGUACCCAUGUACAAUGAACUAUUAUCCAGUCUUAAGGGAAUUUUGAUGCAUGCUAGAGCAUGGUUGAAACUUGAAAACAUUACGUUGUGAAUUAUGCCAGUCACAAAAGGACAAAUAUUGUAUGAUUCCACUUCUACUAGGUUCCUAGAGUAGUCAAAUUCAUAGCAAGAGGAGUGGUGGUUGCCAGGAACUCGAGUUGCUCCAGGGACGGGAAUUGGUAAUUAAUAUUUAAUAGAUACAGGGUUUCAGUUGGGGAAGACAAAAGAAUUCUGAAGAUGGAUGGUAGUAAUAAUUGCAUAAUGUGAAUGUACUUCGUGCCACAGAAUUGUACACUCAAAAAUGGCUAAAAUAAUGAAUUUUAUGUUAUGUAUAUUUUGCUACAAGAAAAAGGUACACAAAAAGAGCAAGGGUAUACAUUGAACCUCAUCAGUAAUUAUUAGUGAAAGCCAUGUAGCAAAAUGGGUGCACAGAAAGGCGAAGAAUUAGAGACAUUCAGGCAGUAUCUACCACAAUGGGAAUCUUUAAAGGUGGUAGCACUUUUAGCAAAGCACUAGAAUCAUUACAGUAUUAAAUUUUAUUCCAAGUGGCCUGAUAUUUAUAACAGAUUUGAAAAAUUAUAGAGGGGUAUUAUACCAGUCUUAGCAUUGAACUGUAAAUGCAAUAGGGGUUUAAGUUUUGAUCUAGAAUUCAAGAAUACAGGUGACAGAACACCCAACCCUCUUAGCACACAAAAUACUAGUUGCAGUGACACAUUUGAGUUGUAGGGAAUAAUUCAAAGCCUGUUUAGGUUUUCUUAUGAUGCAUAUCACAUGAUGCAUAUGAUAACUAAAUAAUUAAAAUCAUUUGUAUCAAAUGGAUAUCAUUAAGAUAUCUGGGGCUAGGCACAGUGGCUCACUUCUGUAAUUCCAGCACUUUGGGAGGCUGAGGCGGGAGUAUUACUUGAGGCCAGAAGUUCAACACCAGCUUGAGCAACAUAGUGAGACCCCCAUCUCUAUAAAAAUUUUCUUAAAAAAUUUGCCACGUGCAGUGGUACACAUCUCUAGUCCCAGCCAGUUGGGAGGCUGAGACAGGAGGAUUUUUCGAGCCCAGGAGUUUGAAGCUGUAGUGAACUAUGAUUGUACCACUGCGCUCCAGAUGCGGUGACAGAGCGUGAUACACUGUUUCUUUUUUUAAAAAUGAAAAAAAAGAUGUCUGGGAAAAUAAGGUACUGAACACCUUAUUUAAUAAAUUCACUUACUUUUCAGCAGUUCUAUAAAGUUAUAUAAAUCUGGAGUUGCUGCAUUAUUUGUUAUAUCAUUGUGAUUUCAGCUUAGAGUAUUUAAAUGUUAAUUAAAAUUCUGGGCUGUUUUUCAUAAUUUCCUUCUUAAUCUAGGCUAUUAUCAAUUUCCUGAGUAGUGAAAAUGCUUGUGGUUCUCAUAGCCAAGGCAUCUGCCUAGUAUUUGCACAAGAGCAUCAUUAGAUAUUUAUAAUUUAUUAAAAUGCCCAUGUAUGUUCCUUUUGAAUAAUUGGCUAAUAACUCUAUUCCUAAGGGAAAUUUGUGUGAGUUCUAAUUUAAUUCAUAGAAAACCUAACAACAUUUAGUAUAUUUUUAAAGCUAUCGCAGCACAAAUAGUACUGAUAUUUGUUUUAGUAUUAGUUAUCCUUUCUGGUGUUUGUUUUUAUGAUUAAUUUUCAAGGGAUAAAAAUCAUGAGAGUAAAGUAAGAUGGAAAUCAUUCUUAAUAUGAGCUAUUGAGUUGAAUAUUCAAAUAUAUUGAAUUGUUUUUAAAUUCAUUAUUUUAUUAUUGUAGCUUUUGAGGCAGAUUAAAUGAAUAUUAUGCCUAUGUCAUAGAUGACAAAAGGAAAUCUAAAGAUUAAGUGACUUUAAGGUCACCAAAUUGGUUACUGUUAGGGGAAGAAUAAGAUACCAGAACCACCUAGAGCUGUGAUGUGUGAUACAGCAGCCACUAGUCAUGAAGGUAUUGAGCAUUUAAAAUGUGAAUACUCUGAAAUGAGAUACACUGUGAGAGUCAAAAAAACCACUGGAUCCCAAACAUAAUACUAGAAAAGAAAUGGAAAAUAUCUCAAUAAUUAUAUAUCGAUUGAAUGUUGAAAUAAGAUUUUCGAUUCAUGGGGUUAAAUAAAAUAUUAAAUUAAUUUCACUUUUUAGGUUUCUUAUGUGACCACUAGAAAACUUAAAAUUUUACACCUGACUCUCAUUAUAUUUCUGAUGCACAAUACUAUCCUAGAAUGUUUUUUCUACUGCUUUAGGCUAAAUGUCUAAGCCUGGGGUCUGAAUUAUGUGUGUAAGUUCCUAUGGUGUGAUUCAUACAUAGUUUAUAAAUUUCUAGAUGUUUAGUAGUACUUAGACAUUUUAAAAAAUCUUACCUAAAAAGAAUCUUACCUAAAAAGAACAAAGAGUUGUUUGUUGACUUUUUCCUCAUAUACCUUGCCCAAAGCCAUGGAGAAAAAUAAAGUUUAUUUAAGACUUUCCAUAUAAAAUGUGAGAGCCACACAUAAAAUUUUAAGUUUUCUAGUAGGCACAUUAGAAGAGGAAAAAAUAGUGAAAUUAAUUUAGUCAUGUAUUUUAUUCAAUUCAAUGUACCGAAAGCAACCAAGCUAGUGAUAUUUUAAACAAAUCUGUUUAUAUCUCUCUCUCUACUUCUUAUAACCUACCCUUGCCUUUCUGUUGUUAAGGCAAUUAAAAUUCUUACCAUGGUAAAAUUCUUAUGAUCUAUCCAGCCUUACCGUAAUGCUCACUUUUUCUCAAUCUUUCUCUCCACUCCCUUCCUACUACCAGGGCUAUUAUACUAUCUUUCAUAGCUUUCAACACUCCAGCAUCCUCUCACUCACCCCAGGGCUCUGUGCACACUGCUUCCUCCUUGUGGAACACUGUUAUCUUUUUGCCUAGUUAACUCCUGUUAAUUCUCCAGAUUUCAGCAUGGGAUUAUCAUUUCCUUAUGGACCAUUUCUUUGAUUCUCAAAUGUAGGUCAGUUAUUUUUUAUAAUAUGCACUCACAGUAGCACUAAAUUUAUCUAAUUUACUUUGGGUAAAUUAUUCAUCCUUAACUGAAAAGUUCACUAACAUGAUUAUUUGAUUAAUAUCUGUAUGCCCUAGUAGACUCUACAAGUCAUGACACUGGUCUUCCUGUCUUUUGUUUUUCAGUGCUAUAUUCCCAGUACACACUAACUGAUAUAUAGUAGGCACUCAAUAAAUAUUAGUUUAAUGAUAUGUAAGUGAAUAAACUCAUAGAUGGACAUUCUUUGAGGUAUGUAUAAUGCUGUAUUUAAAGUAAGAUUCAAGAUGUUUAAAUAAGGUCCUCUGACAUUUUUUAUAGCUAUUUUAUCUUUCCUAUUUGUUUUGCAAAGUAAUUCAGUUUUCAAAUAAAAAUCAGAUUCACUAUUAUAGUAUAUCUUUGAAUACUUGAGCAUUGUCAAUUGUAUUGCUCAACAUAUACCGGCAUUAUGUACUUGGUUCACACAAAAACCCUAAGAGAGAAAAAAUAGGUAUUUCUACUUUUGGGGCAAAAAGUUAAGUUGAAAAGUGAAGUGGCUUUGCUUCAACUUAAAGGGACAAUAAUAAAUCCAAAACAGAUUUGGAAGUGGUGUUUUUUGUGUACGUGUGUGUGCACGUGUGUGUGUGUGUGUGUGUGUGAGAGAGAGACAGAGAGAGAGAGAGAGACAGGGACAAAGUCCAAGGCUAGAUUUUCAAAUACUGAUGAAAAAUGAGAACUGAUAUUAAAAUGAUGACUUAAUGGCCCAGAGAGAGAUGCCUUAUUUAAGGAAUACUAAAUUAUGUCUGGUAAGUAAUUCUGAAGAAUGUAGACCAUUACUUUCUUUUUUUGUUUUUUUGGCAGAGUCUCACUCUGUCUUUUA